CCUACGGGUGGCUGCAGUGGGGAAUAUUGGACAAUGGGGGGAACCCUGAUCCAGCCAUGCCGCGUGUGUGAAGAAGGCCCUCGGGUUGUAAAGCACUUUCAGUGAGGAAGAACGCCUGGUGGUUAAUACCCAUCAGGAAAGACAUCACUCACAGAAGAAGCACCGGCUAACUCCGUGCCAGCAGCCGCGGUAAUACGGAGGGUGCGAGCGUUAAUCGGAAUUACUGGGCGUAAAGCGCGCGUAGGUGGCUUGAUAAGCCGGUUGUGAAAGCCCCGGGCUCAACCUGGGAACGGCAUCCGGAACUGUCAAGCUAGAGUGCAGGAGAGGAAGGUAGAAUUCCCGGUGUAGCGGUGAAAUGCGUAGAGAUCGGGAGGAAUACCAGUGGCGAAGGCGGCCUUCUGGACUGAAACUGACACUGAGGUGCGAAAGCGUGGGUAGCAAACAGGAUUAGAUACCCCUGUAGUC
This 465-nucleotide ribosomal RNA is filed under the name Vreelandella stevensii. Its description in RNAcentral is "partial 16S ribosomal RNA". It matches the Rfam family "Bacterial small subunit ribosomal RNA", at positions 338 to 795 of the family's 1533-position model. Lineage: Bacteria; Pseudomonadati; Pseudomonadota; Gammaproteobacteria; Oceanospirillales; Halomonadaceae. The record is from RNAcentral.